UUGAGUUGGUUGAUGAGUUCAGUGGUUUUGAGAAGCCUAAUGAGAAUGGAGAAUAUCUUUUCUCUUCUUAGGAUUUGGACUAUGUCAAUGGAGGGUGCUUUUGGGAUGGUGGGUGUGGAGGCACCACUUGGUGUCACGGGGACUAAGGGUACUGUGUUGAAUCCUGGGGCAGGAGCAGUGGCUGGUGGAGAGAGUGGUGUGAAUGCUGGUUAUUGUGGUUGUUGUUG
RNAcentral lists this long non-coding RNA (227 nucleotides) under Glycine max (soybean). Its description in RNAcentral is "long non-coding RNA (GMAX_LNC000592)". The record is from RNAcentral. Lineage: Eukaryota; Viridiplantae; Streptophyta; Magnoliopsida; Fabales; Fabaceae.